RNAcentral lists this transfer RNA (85 nucleotides) under Candidatus Nomurabacteria bacterium. RNAcentral describes it as "tRNA-Ser". It matches the Rfam family "tRNA". Rfam says of the family: Transfer RNA (tRNA) molecules are approximately 80 nucleotides in length. Their secondary structure includes four short double-helical elements and three loops (D, anti-codon, and T loops). Lineage: Bacteria; Candidatus Nomuraibacteriota. The record is from RNAcentral.
GGAGACGUCGCAUAGCGGUCUAGUGCACCAUCUUGGAAAGGUGGCAAGGUGAAAGCCUUCGAGGGUUCGAAUCCCUCCGUCUCCG